AGAGUUUGAUCCUGGCUCAGGACGAACGCUGGCGGCGUGCCUAAUACAUGCAAGUAGAACGCUGAAGAGAGGAGCUUGCUCUUCUUGGAUGAGUUGCGAACGGGUGAGUAACGCGUAGGUAACCUGCCUUGUAGCGGGGGAUAACUAUUGGAAACGAUAGCUAAUACCGCAUAACAAUGGAUGACACAUGUCAUUUAUUUGAAAGGGGCAAUUGCUCCACUACAAGAUGGACCUGCGUUGUAUUAGCUAGUAGGUGAGGUAACGGCUCACCUAGGCGACGAUACAUAGCCGACCUGAGAGGGUGAUCGGCCACACUGGGACUGAGACACGGCCCAGACUCCUACGGGAGGCAGCAGUAGGGAAUCUUCGGCAAUGGGGGCAACCCUGACCGAGCAACGCCGCGUGAGUGAAGAAGGUUUUCGGAUCGUAAAGCUCUGUUGUAAGCCAAGAACGAGUGUGAGAGUGGAAAGUUCACACUGUGACGGUAGCUUACCAGAAAGGGACGGCUAACUACGUGCCAGCAGCCGCGGUAAUACGUAGGUCCCGAGCGUUGUCCGGAUUUAUUGGGCGUAAAGCGAGCGCAGGCGGUUUGAUAAGUCUGAAGUUAAAGGCUGUGGCUCAACCAUAGUUCGCUUUGGAAACUGUCAAACUUGAGUGCAGAAGGGGAGAGUGGAAUUCCAUGUGUAGCGGUGAAAUGCGUAGAUAUAUGGAGGAACACCGGUGGCGAAAGCGGCUCUCUGGUCUGUAACUGACGCUGAGGCUCGAAAGCGUGGGGAGCGAACAGGAUUAGAUACCCUGGUAGUCCACGCCGUAAACGAUGAGUGCUAGGUGUUGGAUCCUUUCCGGGAUUCAGUGCCGCAGCUAACGCAUUAAGCACUCCGCCUGGGGAGUACGACCGCAAGGUUGAAACUCAAAGGAAUUGACGGGGGCCCGCACAAGCGGUGGAGCAUGCGGUUUAAUUCGAAGCAACGCGAAGAACCUUACCAGGUCUUGACAUCCCGAUGCUAUUUCUAGAGAUAGAAAGUUACUUCGGUACAUCGGUGACAGGUGGUGCAUGGUUGUCGUCAGCUCGUGUCGUGAGAUGUUGGGUUAAGUCCCGCAACGAGCGCAACCCCUAUUGUUAGUUGCCAUCAUUCAGUUGGGCACUCUAGCGAGACUGCCGGUAAUAAACCGGAGGAAGGUGGGGAUGACGUCAAAUCAUCAUGCCCCUUAUGACCUGGGCUACACACGUGCUACAAUGGUUGGUACAACGAGUUGCGAGUCGGUGACGGCAAGCUAAUCUCUUAAAGCCAAUCUCAGUUCGGAUUGUAGGCUGCAACUCGCCUACAUGAAGUCGGAAUCGCUAGUAAUCGCGGAUCAGCACGCCGCGGUGAAUACGUUCCCGGGCCUUGCACACACCGCCCGUCA
Molecule: ribosomal RNA, 1407 nt
Filed under: uncultured bacterium
Lineage: Bacteria
Description: 16S ribosomal RNA
Rfam family: Bacterial small subunit ribosomal RNA
Source: RNAcentral